RNAcentral lists this transfer RNA (86 nucleotides) under Astrobacterium formosum. RNAcentral's name for it is "tRNA-OTHER". It matches the Rfam family "tRNA". From Rfam's summary of the family: Transfer RNA (tRNA) molecules are approximately 80 nucleotides in length. Their secondary structure includes four short double-helical elements and three loops (D, anti-codon, and T loops). Further hydrogen bonds mediate the characteristic L-shaped molecular structure. tRNAs have two regions of fundamental functional importance: the anti-codon, which is responsible for specific mRNA codon recognition, and the 3' end, to which the tRNAs corresponding amino acid is attached (by aminoacyl-tRNA synthetases). tRNAs cope with the degeneracy of the genetic code in two manners: having more than one tRNA (with a specific anti-codon) for a particular amino acid; and 'wobble' base-pairing, i.e. permitting non-standard base-pairing at the 3rd anti-codon position. The record is from RNAcentral. Lineage: Bacteria; Pseudomonadati; Pseudomonadota; Alphaproteobacteria; Hyphomicrobiales; Nitrobacteraceae.
GCGGGGUGGCGCAGUCAGGUCAGCGCGUCAGGCACGUCCUCUUGGAAGGCCUGGAGGCCGCCGGUUCAAAUCCGGCCUCCGCACCA